RNAcentral lists this ribosomal RNA (492 nucleotides) under uncultured bacterium. RNAcentral describes it as "partial 16S ribosomal RNA". It matches the Rfam family "Bacterial small subunit ribosomal RNA", at positions 29 to 507 of the family's 1533-position model. The record is from RNAcentral.
AGUGAACGCUGGCGGUAGGCCUAACACAUGCAAGUCGAACGGCAGCACAGUAAGAGCUUGCUCUUACGGGUGGCGAGUGGCGGACGGGUGAGGAAUACAUCGGAAUCUACUUUUUCGUGGGGGAUAACGUAGGGAAACUUACGCUAAUACCGCAUACGACCUACGGGUGAAAGCAGGGGAUCUUCGGACCUUGCGUGAUUGAAUGAGCCGAUGUCGGAUUAGCUAGUUGGCGAGGUAAAGGCCCACCAAGGCGACGAUCCGUAGCUGGUCUGAGAGGAUGAUCAGCCACACUGGAACUGAGACACGGUCCAGACUCCUACGGGAGGCAGCAGUGGGGAAUAUUGGACAAUGGGCGCAAGCCUGAUCCAGCCAUACCGCGUGGGUGAAGAAGGCCUUCGGGUUGUAAAGCCCUUUUGUUGGGAAAGAAAAGCAGCAGGUUAAUACCCCACUGUUCUGACGGUACCCAAAGAAUAAGCACCGGCUAACUUCGUG